CUUUUUAUAUAUUUGUGCUAAAUAAUUUUAUUAUUAACCUCAAAAACUUUCAUUGAAUCUAAACCCAUCAACCAACAAGAGACAGAGACGAUCUCACGCCAACCCCCAGGAUGAGAAUUACUGUAAUGACGGCAGAUGAACAGAUCCUUAGCUUAGAUGUUGAUCCUCAUGAAACUGUUGAAAAUUUGAAAGCUUUGCUUGAAGUUGAGACUAUGGUGCCAUUACAGCAGAAGCAACUUUUGUUUAAUGGGAGGGAAAUGAACAACUUCGAGAAGUUGAGUGCAUUAGGAAGAU
Molecule: long non-coding RNA, 294 nt
Organism: Hibiscus syriacus
Lineage: Eukaryota; Viridiplantae; Streptophyta; Magnoliopsida; Malvales; Malvaceae
Exons: 3
Source: RefSeq, a predicted model, not a curated record